Molecule: long non-coding RNA, 494 nt
Filed under: Pan troglodytes (chimpanzee)
Lineage: Eukaryota; Metazoa; Chordata; Mammalia; Primates; Hominidae
Description: long non-coding RNA NONPTRT016252
Source: RNAcentral
UUUUUUUUUUUUGAGCUAGAGUUUCGCUCUUGUUGCCCAUGGUGGAGUGCAGUGGUGUGAUCUCGGCUCACUGAACAUGUGCCUACCAGGUUCAAGCAAUUCUCCUAGCUCAGCCUCCUGAGUAGCUGGGAUUACAGGCACACACCACCACGCCUGCCUAACUUUUGUAUUUUUAGUGGAGUUGGGGUUUCACCAUGUUGGCCAGGCGGGUCUCGAACUCCUGACCUCAGGUGAUCCUCCCGCUUCAGCCUCCCAAAGUGCUGGGAUUACAGGCAUGAACCACCUCGCCCCGCCAGGAAUGUUUUUUAAGAAGGCUAUCUACUUACGGAGUUCCUGGCCUUGAGAGGAUAUUACUUGCAAAGGAAAGGAUUCGUUUUGUGAUUAAAAAACAUAAUCUUAUGAAUUCAACACAUGAAGAUUUACAACUUGAUAAACCAGCUUCAGGAGAUCAGAACUUCUUACAAUACAACUGAUGUUACUCAGCCUAGAACAAA